CCUACGGGAGGCAGCAGUGAGGAAUAUUGGUCAAUGGACGAGAGUCUGAACCAGCCAAGUAGCGUGAAGGAUGACUGCCCUAUGGGUUGUAAACUUCUUUUAUAUGGGAAUAAAAUGUUCCACGUGUGGGACUUUGUAUGUACCAUAUGAAUAAGGAUCGGCUAACUCCGUGCCAGCAGCCGCGGUAAUACGGAGGAUCCGAGCGUUAUCCGGAUUUAUUGGGUUUAAAGGGAGCGUAGGUGGAUUGUUAAGUCAGUUGUGAAAGUUUGCGGCUCAACCGUAAAAUUGCAGUUGAAACUGGCAGUCUUGAGUACAGGAGAGGUGGGCGGAAUUCGUGGUGUAGCGGUGAAAUGCUUAGAUAGCACGAAGAACUCCGAUUGCGAAGGCAGCUCACUGGACUGCAACUGACACUGAGGCUCGAAAGUGUGGGUAUCAAACAGGAUUAGAUACCCCUGUAGUC
Molecule: ribosomal RNA, 460 nt
Filed under: uncultured bacterium
Lineage: Bacteria
Description: partial 16S ribosomal RNA
Rfam family: Bacterial small subunit ribosomal RNA
Source: RNAcentral